UUCUUGCUGUUAAUGGAGAAAUUGAAUGUC
RNAcentral lists this non-coding RNA (30 nucleotides) under Mus musculus (house mouse). Lineage: Eukaryota; Metazoa; Chordata; Mammalia; Rodentia; Muridae. The record is from RNAcentral.